Molecule: long non-coding RNA, 902 nt
Filed under: Callithrix jacchus (white-tufted-ear marmoset)
Lineage: Eukaryota; Metazoa; Chordata; Mammalia; Primates; Cebidae
Description: lncRNA (ENSCJAG00000084565.1)
Source: RNAcentral
ACUGUUUCAAUCUCCUUGGAGGGGUGGCAGGGAACUUCCCCAAAAGUGACUGACAGACGGGCUGCUUGGAGCUCUGAGGGCCUCAAGGAGAGCGGAGGAGGGGCUGCCUUCAGCUGGGAAGGUGAGAGAAGAGCCUGAAGCAGAGGGGGGUCUCCACUACAGACUUUCCAGCUGCUGCUUGGGAACAACUGAUAAGCCAGGAAGGCAGCUGGAGCAUAGGCUGAGAAGCAAAGAGCAGGCUGUGCAAAGACAGAGUUUCACUCUUGUUGCCCAGGCUGGAGUGCAAUGGCACAAUCUCAGCUCACUGCAGCCUCCACCUCCCAGGUUCAAGCAAUUCUCCUGCCUCAACCUCCUAAGUAGCUGGGAUUACAGAAGAAAAUGAAGCUUAUUAAAGUUGAAUGAGUCAUCCAAGGCCAUAUAGCUGGUUGGCAGCUGAACUGGGGUUUGAACCCAAGUUUUUCUUCCACACCAUGCAGCAUUUACUAUAUAGAAAAAUAGCUGAAUAAAUUUCUCUUGUUAUUUUAGCCAAAUUUCAUUUGUAAAAUCCCAGAAGUGGCCUACUAUUCUGAUAUGGCAAUAUGUAUCUUUCAUGAUCUGAAUAAACAACAGAGAAAAUCCACUGUAUUCUUAUGAGUUUGGAAAACAAAGUGUUAUCACAGAUAACACUAAGCUAUUCCUGUCCUCAGUUCCCGUGAUUUUGAACCUGUUAUUCAGAACAAGAAGCCCUGUGCUUCAAAUACAAGCCAGAACAUUCUAUUUAGUGCAAACACAAGAUCCAAAACUCCAUUUUAAAAAUGGAGUUUCUGUACAGUAAGAAAUGGAGUUUUCUGUACUGUAAGAAUCCAGCCUGCAUUUGUCAGUGGCAGAGAGACUAGUGAAGAGAGAGGUCCCUGAAGAGGUCA